GGAAAGGCGCGCGAUACAGGGUGACAGCCCCGUACACAAAAAUGCACAUGCUGUGAGCUCGAUGAGUAGGGCGGGACACGUGGUAUCCUGUCUGAAUAUGGGGGGACCAUCCUCCAAGGCUAAAUACUCCUGACUGACCGAUAGUGAACCAGUACCGUGAGGGAAAGGCGAAAAGAACCCCGGCGAGGGGAGUGAAAAAGAACCUGAAACCGUGUACGUACAAGCAGUGGGAGCACGCUUAGGCGUGUGACUGCGUACCUUUUGUAUAAUGGGUCAGCGACUUAUAUUCUGUAGCAAGGUUAACCGAAUAGGGGAGCCGAAGGGAAACCGAGUCUUAACUGGGCGUUAAGUUGCAGGGUAUAGACCCGAAACCCGGUGAUCUAGCCAUGGGCAGGUUGAAGGUUGGGUAACACUAACUGGAGGACCGAACCGACUAAUGUUGAAAAAUUAGCGGAUGACUUGUGGCUGGGGGUGAAAGGCCAAUCAAACCGGGAGAUAGCUGGUUCUCCCCGAAAGCUAUUUAGGUAGCGCCUCGUGAAUUCAUCUCCGGGGGUAGAGCACUGUUUCGGCAAGGGGGUCAUCCCGACUUACCAACCCGAUGCAAACUGCGAAUACCGGAGAAUGUUAUCACGGGAGACACACGGCGGGUGCUAACGUCCGUCGUGAAGAGGGAAACAACCCAGACCGCCAGCUAAGGUCCCAAAGUCAUGGUUAAGUGGGAAACGAUGUGGGAAGGCCCAGACAGCCAGGAUGUUGGCUUAGAAGCAGCCAUCAUUUAAAGAAAGCGUAAUAGCUCACUGGUCGAGUCGGCCUGCGCGGAAGAUGUAACGGGGCUAAACCAUGCACCGAAGCUGCGG
Molecule: ribosomal RNA, 857 nt
Filed under: Escherichia coli
Lineage: Bacteria; Pseudomonadati; Pseudomonadota; Gammaproteobacteria; Enterobacterales; Enterobacteriaceae
Description: partial 23S ribosomal RNA
Rfam family: Bacterial large subunit ribosomal RNA
Source: RNAcentral